UGCAAAGGUAGCAUAAUCAUUUGCCUUAUAAUUGAAGGCUAGUAUGAAUGGUUUGACGAGAAUUAAGCUGUCUCUUUUUAACUAAAUAUAACUUUAUUAAGAGGUGAAGAAGCCUGUAUUUUAUUGAAAGACAAGAAGACCCUAUCGAGCUUUAAAGAAUUUAGUAGAUUUACCAUAUAUUAAUAAAAAAGUAAAGCAACUAAAUAUUUUGGUUGGGGCGACUGAGGAACAAACAAAGCUUCCUUUAUGCUAAUUAAAACUUACAAGUAUUGAUCCAAUUUAUUUGAUUAAAGAAAUUAGUUACCGUAGGGAUAACAGCAUAAUCUCCUUUGAGAGUUCUCAUCGAAAAGGGGGUUUGUGACCUCGAUGUUGGACCAGAAUACCCAGAAGAUGCAGCCGUCUUCAAUGGUUGGUCUGUUCGACCAUU
RNAcentral lists this ribosomal RNA (427 nucleotides) under Reishia clavigera. RNAcentral describes it as "partial small subunit ribosomal RNA". It matches the Rfam family "Bacterial large subunit ribosomal RNA", at positions 1949 to 2589 of the family's 2925-position model. The record is from RNAcentral. Lineage: Eukaryota; Metazoa; Mollusca; Gastropoda; Neogastropoda; Muricidae.